Molecule: ribosomal RNA, 248 nt
Filed under: uncultured bacterium
Lineage: Bacteria
Description: partial 16S ribosomal RNA
Rfam family: Bacterial small subunit ribosomal RNA
Source: RNAcentral
GUCCACGCCGUAAACGAUGGACACUAGUUGUUGGAAUUAUUCAGUGACUAAGCGAAAGUAAUAAGUGUCCCACCUGGGGAGUACGGUCGCAAGAUUGAAACUCAAAGGAAUUGACGGGGGCCCGCACAAGCGGUGGAGCAUGUGGUUUAAUUCGAUGAUACGCGAGGAACCUUACCAGGGCUUAAAUGUAGAGUGACAGGUCUAGAGAUAGAUUUUUCUUCGGACACUUUACAAGGUGCUGCAUGGUU